CAGCAGCCGCGGUAAUACGUAGGGUGCAAGCGUUAAUCGGAAUUACUGGGCGUAAAGCGUGCGCAGGCGGUUAUAUAAGACAGAUGUGAAAUCCCCGGGCUCAACCUGGGAACUGCAUUUGUGACUGUAUAGCUAGAGUACGGCAGAGGGGGAUGGAAUUCCGCGUGUAGCAGUGAAAUGCGUAGAUAUGCGGAGGAACACCGAUGGCGAAGGCAAUCCCCUGGGCCUGUACUGACGCUUAUGCACGAAAGCGUGGGGAGCAAACAGGAUUAGAUACCCCAGUAGUCCCUGUCUCUUAUAC
RNAcentral lists this ribosomal RNA (301 nucleotides) under uncultured bacterium. RNAcentral describes it as "partial 16S ribosomal RNA". It matches the Rfam family "Bacterial small subunit ribosomal RNA", at positions 509 to 807 of the family's 1533-position model. The record is from RNAcentral.